UUGAAUGAUAAUUCCGAGCCCUUCUAUAUGGAUUUGUGGAAUCAGUUGCUGAUGACCGUGAUGUAUCCUGAUGAGGAUCUAUAAUGGACGACUGCGUAGGGUGAUUUACGUGAUCGAGUUGUGAGACUCUCACUAUUUGAUUGAGUGAUUUGGAAAGCUCAAGGAGGGAAACUACCAAGCUAUUUAUUUCCCCUCUUUCCAUCCCUGCCUAAUGGAAUUAAGUUCAUUGGCUAGAACUGCAUAAAAGAGUUUAUGGAAUUGACGCUUGGGUUAAUAGUUAUAUGUAAGAUGGUAUCGAUAGAGAGCUUACUAAUGAGGUAUGAAUUGAUUCCUCUCUAUUGCUUGAGCUGAACUCGGUGACGGCAGACACCUUGAGUAUCCAAUACUAAGGAAAGUAUUGAGGAUAAGAGAUUUAUUUGGUUCUACCUGAGGAAUCAAGUGACGAGUGUUAUGAGAUAUACUAUCGAAGGCAAGCCCUUAACCUAAGCUUGCGAAGGAUUUAUUUGGAAAUCUAAGUUGAACAGGUGAUGAAAUUUCUCACUAACGGAAUAGUUGUGAUCUGCCCUAUGUUUGAUGUCAUGAGUAUUAAAACUGAGGAGAUGUCCUUAGUAAAAAUUGUGAAGCUUUUGAGCAUUGAUCCCCAGCAGCAUUCUUGGAUGCGAGGAUGAGGUUGCCGCCCUAGCGGUGGAAUUAAAGGGAUAUGGAAGCAUUGCGAUACGAUGCCGAAUGUUUGGUCAAGUAAUCACCUUUGGUGAGCUAAUUGGGAUGAUUCGUUGACUUCCGUUACUAUCAGAAGGAAUUCUACAAUGGAAGUUGAUUUUGGACUGCUUCGUGGUCAAACAAGAUUGGAAUGGUGGGAUGUUGCAAAUAGAAGCCAUGAGGAAAAUUUACACCAUGCUUAACUAUGGAAUAAAAUUGCACCCAGUUGUGCAAUCUCUUGACGAGCUUUGACCUGGGAUUUGAAGGAUCAUCGUUGGGAUUUGAGUCGACGAUUGGAUUUUAUAUUGUCUCUCUUUGGUGAGUGAUAAUCGUUUGAGCGCUCCGGUGGAGUUUUGAUGGAUUGUGUAACGGGUGUAACCCCUGGAUUCUUUCUAUGGAUAACACUAUUGAAUCCUCUUUAGAAGGAUAUAUGAUGGAAUUCCAUUUAUAAGAGCAAGUUAAAACAGAGCUAGACUUCGCCUCCGACCUGGUUGAAGAAGGUGAGAAAUAGAAUUUAGCCCCGUUGGGGGCACUUGGCUUUGUGUGGAUCAACUGAGGAGCUUGUUGAACGAGCGCUGAUUAGAGAUGGAACUUCCCUAUGGGGACUUGAGUUCGUGAACAUCUAUGGAAGUUUGGCUUGCGACAUGUUGAGUUUCCGGAGCCACGGGAUCUCGGUGUGAGGAUACUUUGGAGCAAUCCAGUAUGCUCGAGACCUGUGGAAUCUGUUUUGUGCGCUGUUGGAGCGCUUCUUCCAUCCUUUUCAGAUGGAUUUGUAAUGUGGUUGAACUGCAGUUUCGCGGACAAAAAUUCUUUUUAGGAGAGGAGAAUGUAACACACUGAACUUUAGCAAAUUGUAAGGUUCGAGUGUUUGAUUCGUGAACUGAGCCUUUUUGGGUUUUCUGUACGAUCGUCGACUGUGUUCCGACCUAUGACUCACGUUUCGAGGAGUGAGGAUGAAAAUCUAGCACCAAAAUCUCUAAAAAAAAAGAUUUGGGCUGCUCUCUGGUUGACUCUGCAGGGCAGAGUACCGGUACUGCAUCGGCUUGGUACCGGAACUGGAUCUGGUACCGGUACUGCAUCGCGAUUGUACCGGUACGCAAUGUAUUUUCUGCUUGGUCGAGGCUCGGGUUGGCAGUUCUCUUGACCUGGUACCGGUACUCUUGCCCGCGUACUGGUACGCAGUGCAGAUGCAGGCUGCACGUUGUUGGAGGGUGUUUUUGGAAUUGUUACAACUCUAUAUAACACCCCACAGCCCUUGAGAGAGCUCUUUUGAGCCCUAAACCGUGGAGAGCUGAGGUAAGAGCUCCCCUCUCUUGUUUUUCUCCCUUUUUCUUGGGAUUUAGCUUGGUUUGAUAUCCUCUUUUUGCUUCUCCUUGCCUUAUGUUGGAUUUUCCACCUUGGAGAAGCCUUGGAUUGAGGAUUGGAGCUUGUUGGAGGAGAGAUCUUCAACCCUAGCUCAUUUCAAGCUUGGUUUGGAGCUUGUGGAGAGGUUAGUAUCUUAGAUCUUCUCUUUAGAUCUUGUUUUUGUGGAAUUUUUUAGAUAAAACCUAGAAAUAAGAAAUCUAGGGUUUAUUUGGGAAUUUUUGAUUUGUAGCUUUUGAAGCUUAAUUGAUUGGUUUAGAACCUUCAUCUAGGUUGGAUUAGAAGUGUUCUCUAACUUCCAUUUGGGAUUUGAGGAGGUUUUUCCAACAUUUAGGUGAGUUUUGACUCUAUAUUGGGUUGAUUAAUGUUAUACUCAUGAGAUGUUUGUUCUUUACUCUUAACCCUCUUAGAAAUUCUCUUAGGGUGCUAGGAGCUUGGGGGACAACUUCAUUCGAAAGAACAAAAAAGUUCGAAGAUCAUCCGGUGGGUUUGACCUCACCGAAAUGGGUGAACUCCCCCUAUGCUAUUUUUCUUGUUAUAAAAGUAGAAAUUCAUGCAUAUUAAUGCUUGAUAGAGUGUCACGCCCCGAGCCCGCCUCUUUGAUCGGAUUUGGGCACGCCGACAGACCACCGAACGGACAGAGUCUCCCCUAUACGUCCAAGGCGUCGCAAUCAAUACAGUACAAGAGGUUCCAACUAGGAACAGUAUUCAACCAGAGAUUACAUAAGGAAGUAUAAAAAACAUAAACAACUAGCUAUUACAAGCAUUCGUCUCAAUUUAACAUUUAGGUUACAUAUUACAUUGCUUUAACUAGAUUCUUACUUCCAAAUACAAUCCAAGUUGCUACAAAUUAUUACAAGUUUGAUUCUUUGUCCUCUAAACCCCUAAGCUAAACCACCUUGGGGUAAAGCUAUCUCUGGUCUCUGGGGUAGGGCGCUAUCUACGGAACUACGCCCUUUUCUCGCGCCGCCGCGCCACUUACAUGUGUAUCUGUAACACCCCAAAACAACGUGGGGUGAGAACCAACUCCAUGGUUCCCAGUGGGUAUGGCCACCCAAGGGAAAAGCUCGACCAAUAGGUCCAAUGAGGCACUGCAACAGGUUAGUCCAAUAACAUACAACAGGUAUUUAUACUUUUACUCAAUAUUGAACUAUAUGUCAUGCCUCACAAUAUGCAAUAUGAAAUCAUGCAACUAUCAAAGUAGAUUAAUUGAUACUACUUCCCAUUCUUAGCCAUUCUUUAUUAUUAGACACUUAUUCUUUACACUUUAGCUAUUCUUCACCGUUAGCCAUUUUCUUGCAAUCAUUAGCUAUCCCUUAGCAUUAGCCGUUUCUAUUCCUUAUUCUUUAUUCUUUAUUUUUUAUCCUCUACUAAGGGCACUCACACCUUAAUCAUAUUAUACACAAUUGCCACUCUUUCCUAAGGUUACUUUACCUUAGCCAACUAUGCCACUCGACUCGGUCUUGAGUCAAUCAACUGCGGAUAAUCCGCGCUCUGUAACACACUGGACCUUUGCAAAUUGCGAGGUUCGAGUGUUUGAUCAGUGUGUCGAGCUUUUUCAGACUUUCUGGAAGGUCGUAGACAGUGUUCCGACCUAUGGCUCGCAUCCCGAGAAUUGUGGUUUUAAGCUGGUGCCAAAAGCCCAAAAAGAUUGGACCUUGGUCAGCUCUCGGGUAGCCUGCAGCAGAGCUUGUACCGGAACAAGACUAGUCUUGUACCGGAACAAGACUGGUCUUGUACCGGUACAAGGUUGAUAGUUGUACCGGUACAGCCAUCGGGCUUGUACCGGUACAGAGCCGCAGACCCCGCAACCCGAGCCUUGGGUUUGCAUUUUCGUGGUCCUUGUACCGGUACAAGGACCCGUGUACCGGUACAAGGCGGCAGAUUGCCAGUUUGAACUGCAAGGGGUUUUUCGCGAUUGUAGCCUAUCUAUAUCAGCCCCCACGCCCUUGGGGACUCUCCCUGAGCUGAGAUCACAGGAGAAGAAGGUAAGGGCUUCCUCUCUUCUUCCCCCCUUGGAUUUUACUCCUUUUUGCUUGGAUUUAGGAAGCUUUUUGCUCUCUUUUGCUUCCUAGAGCAUUUUCCACCUUUGGAGAGGGCUUGGGGCUUGGUUUUGAGCUUUGUAGAGGAACAAUCUUAGAAGUUGUGGACCUUUGAGCUUGGAUUGAAGCUUCUAAGAGGUAAGCAUGUUGUUCCCUCCCUCUAGAUUUUGGUUUUGAUGUUUUAUAGUAGAUGAAACCUUAGAUUGUGAUAUUAGGGUUUAUUUUGGGUAUUUUGAAUCUAGGACUUUUGAAGCUAGAUUGAGUGGAUUAGCGGCUUCCAUUUGGUUGGUUUGGAAGGGCUUUAGCUCUCUUUUGGAGCUUUAGAGGAGAUUUUUGCACUAGAGGUGAGUUUUCCUCACCUAUACUUGAUUAGCUUAAUGAUUGAGCUAGGUAUUGUUCGUUUGGCUCGUAUGACACAUGUUUUUAUACCUCUAGGGUACUAGGAGACUAGAGGACACCCUCGUGGGAGCACACGAGGAGUUUCGUUGUCAUCGGUGGGUUUGGCUUCGUGGAAAUGGGGCAAAAUGGCCCCUAUGCUCUUUCUACUUGUCGUAAAAUAUUUUAAAUUCAUUUCUAUGCUAAAUAGAAUUUAUAUGAAUUUUAGAGCACUUAAAAUGCAUGCCUUGUGUAUUAUGAAAAAUUUCACUAUAUAGUAGAACUAUAUGAGUAGAACGUAUGCAUACGGAAAAAAUGUUUUUUUUGCAAGUGGAAAAUACAUCUUUUAUGAGGAUUAUGACUUGGAAUAUGUACUUUGGAACAUAGUUGCCAUGCUUUGACAUAGAGAACAAGAGUGUCAUCAAGGGGCACUUGAAACUAGUAAACUAUUAAACUGCAACAUAGAGACAUAUUGAUAGGCCACUACGCAUCUGCUAUAUUCCAUGUUAAAGACAUGAUGAUAUAGAGAUAGGCCAUUGAGAUACUUGAUAUAUUCCAUGUUGUUAGACAUGAGGACUUGGUACUUGAGACAGAUCAUUGCUUGCUUGCCAUUGCGCUCAUUCACACAUGCUUGUGAGGGUCGCUCCCUACAAGCCGGCACUCCGGAGAUAGCCAUCGCGACAUAUGCUCGCCCGUGCGGGAUUGGGCGCCGAAGUGGAUUGCCGUGGGGGAGGCUCAUCCCUAGAGUGGGGAUGUUGACUACCACAGGGCCAUUAGGCACGGCGCAGACCAGACAGCCUUCGGGUGGGUCUUAUAUGAUUGGGACUUGGUGACAGAACAUGCUAUGUGAACUUUAUAACUGUUAAAGUGGACAUGGACUAGAAUAGUAAACAACGACAUCUUUACUAUUACAUUGUGGACUUUCGGUAGUUGCAUAAUCAUGCUUUAUAUGUUGGGUGUUCAUGUGCAUAUAGCUAGUAGUUGUUUUCUUACUUAUGUAAAUUAUGCUAAGUAGAGAUAUCAUGAUUAUUGGGCACUCUUUUAUUUAUUUACUUACAGUGCAUUUAUCGCUUUUGUUAUAGUUGUACACUGACCCUCUUUUAUAUUUUUGGGCCUAGUGGUGCAUUUCACUGAAGUCAGUAAUUGCCCACUGGAAACUAUUAUUUAAUAGUUCUCACGCCCCUGUUUCUAUGUUUCCUUUUCAGAGCCUUCGGCACCGGCGGAGGCACGGGAUCGCGGCAAGGGUGUCGCGUAGCUAGCUCGCGGAGAGUUUUUUUGCGCUAGGUGAUUACUCCUCCAUUUUAUAUUUUAAAAAAAAGGAAGAGGUUUUGUACCAUGUAUAGAGAGACCACCUUGUACUCCUUUUAGCACUUGUUAUGGGAUCCCUAUUGUACUUACUUUAUAUUUUUAUUUAGUGGACUUUCAGCUUUAUGUCCUUUCCUUGCUAUAGAACUAGUUAUACAAUGCUCUGAUAUCACUAGAUCUCUUGUAUUAUUGUUUUAUCUAUCGAAAUUUUUGUAGACGCCUUAUAUGUUUUAGACGUAUGGCGGGUCUGGACAUGCGCCGGGUAGGCUUCCGCUGAGCCCCGGGGCGUGACACGCUCUGUCAGGCUUGAGGCGAAUGACGUCUCACAUGCACCUCAGCCUUAAAUCCUCUCGACUAUAGGUCUACUCACAGGGUGAGGAUAUCCGUCGAACCCCGGACCACAAGUCGCUCAAUGGACCUACGGGCGAGAAGAACCACACGUACCUGCGUCCCCAAUCUCAUACUCAAACCGGGCGAGGAGAACCACACGCACCCGAUGAGUCACUGCCAAGCAAGGAGAACCACACGUACCUGCAGUGGCCAUACACUUGCGCUCGGUCGCAAGGCUCAUCCGCUGUACUAGUAGCCACUGCACUAGCAGCACUCAUUCCUAAGGAUUCCGGAAUCCACAUUCUUAACUCUAGGGUUGGUCGUAAACCCUAUAGUGUUGACCUAUCUAGGUCCCAAGCAUUCCUCAUCCUAAGGUUUAUAACAUUAGGUCUAAUGUUCUUUAUCACCUAGGUUUAUUUGACUCUAGGUUCAAUGCCACUCUUUUCAUAGCCUAGGUUUACUUGGCCCUAGGUUCAAUUCUCAACAUAUGUUUAGUACACCAAGGUUAAUGCCACUCACCUAGGUUUAUUUAACUCUAGGUUCAAUUUCAACCUAUAUUCUCUAACAUUAGGUUUAUUGCCAUUCUUGUUUAACCUAUGUUUGUUAACACCAGGUUCAAUAUCACUCCUGUUCAACGUAUGUCCUUGACACUAGGUUCGAUGCCGCUAGAUCUAGUAUAUAUAUACAUAUGUCCACAUGCACUUGUCAUUUAACAUAGUUCUCUAUAUGUCAACUUGCACUCGUUUAGCAUUCUCAUAUCAUCAUUCAUUUUCUUAGCAUUAACCACAUGCUUCUCAUGUAUUCACUUGGCAUUCUUACAACAUGCAACAUGCAUUCAACUAGCAUUAAUCAAUGCAUUUAUCUAGCAUUUCUAUAACAUGUUUAUCAUGUAUUCUUUGAGCAUUCUUAUUUCAUAUCAAUAUGCAUUUCAACAUGUUUCUACACAUUCCCUCUAGCAUGUUCUUAUAAUAUCAACAUGCAUAUGCCAUUUACUUUAUGCUUUCCACUAGCAUUAUUCACACUAUAUCAUCAUGCAUUAUUUGGUAGCCCAACAUAGCAUUCAUCCUAUGCAUUCGCAUGUUCUAUCAUUAGCUACCACUAUAUGCAUCAAUGAUAAACACUCAUCUUAGACAUACAGGCGACCUAGUCACUUCGGUAAACACAACCCACCUUAACUUAUUCUCCGAUUGCUCGUAGUCACUUGCAAUCUGCCUCCCGCGGCACCCGUUGCCUUGUUCGGCCCAAACUCGCGCGCGACCACCCAAACGACCACCGAUCGACAAUCCGGAAAUUAAAGGUUUAUAACUUGAUACCACGUUGCUCCGGAUCCAUUUUCAUGAUUUUUGGACGCCGCCUCGGCCCUCCAGGCGGAAACGAAGCCGAAACGUCCGUUUCUUCAAUAUCUUCGCAUAGGCUCGACAAAUCGCCGAACCGACUUCGCCAACGCGUUCGUAUACCUAGCAAUUAGGUUUACGUAGGGUUAAUUUAGAUCAAACCCAAAUAUUUUACAAAAACCCCAUUUUGAACCCUAACAUGCUACUAUUGCAAGAAAUCAUUAUAUAGCUCCAUGAUUCAAGCAUUAAUCCUCUAAUUAGCAUCUAGGAGCUCCACUAAAUUCAUUUUUAUAGCAUAUAAUUGAAGCCUUAGUAUUCUACCAUUGUUGCUAUCAAAACUUACCUCUCAAGCUAGCACCAAUGGAGAGGAAGAAGACGAAGAAGAAAAUAAUCCACCUUCUUGAUUCCUUCUCUACCAAUCCUUCUCUUGAUUCUACCUUCAAGAGAGAGAGAGAUCCUUCCUUCUUUGCAAGUGUGAGAGAGAGGGAGAGGGUGUGUGCGUGCGUGUGUUGUGUGCGUGGGCUGAUGGAGGAGAAGAAAAGGGGAGAAAUCCCUUUUAUACAAAGCCCCUUAACACUAUUCACUUCAGUUUAGCAGCACGAUACAGAUAUUUUUCGCUUGCCCUUCUGAAUGUCCGUUUGAGCUCAAAUUUGACAGUCAUGCUCGGUUUUACUUAACUUAACGAAAGAAUUUUUAAUCUUUCAGCUUCGACCCCGUUUGGUCACCGAAAGCUCUACCGAACUGUAAUCUCUAGCAGAUAGCAGUCGGAUUUUAUUUUUCACUUUUUGGGUGUCAGAAUGGUAUGAAACUUUAAAUCUAGUCUCAUAAAAAUAAUUCUGACAUAUUCUUCAGUUUUCAUAAUUUUCUGACACUGUACAUUUUCUGCUAAUUUAUCUGCCCCGUUUCUCACAUAAAAUUUUAAAUCUUCUGUUUUCGCUCCGAUUUCAACACAGGUCAUUUCCAACUUAUAUUUCACUUCUCUAAAUCCAAUAAAAAUAGUAUCUCAUACUAUUUUUAUUUAUUUUUAUUUUUAUAUCAAAAUCUGGUAUGUUACAUUCUCCACCCCUUAAAAGAAUUUCGUCCGCGAAAUUCAAACCACGCCUCAAUUUAGCUCCUCGAGCAAUUGAGUGCAUCAAUGCACUUUCCUACUCCGGAAUGGCCUUACGUUCAUCGGAACGAUUCAAAGGCCUGCUACGGAGGAUACGAAAUCAAACGCAUAUACGUUUGCAAGGCGCAGCACAUAAAGUGCAUUACGGCCUCCAUGAUUCUCGGUGGCAGCGCAAGUCAAAACUAGACGACACUACGCGCUCCAACACCACGUGCCACAAAGGUCUAUCGCCUAACCUGUCUAAAUAUGCAGCGUCUCUCGCUCGCAAAUGCAGACCCAAUCAUUAUCAGGCGAAAUUCUCACUUGGGAAUUCGCACACACUCCAACCAGGAGCAACUAAAAUUCCAAACCUUUACAGAUCCCAGGGUUGGGUUACCAUCGCACUCUCGGCAUACUAUCAAUCGCACGAUACGCUCUACCGAGCCACACGUACCACUAUCGGCUUCUAUGCACCUAGGGCGAGCCACCAGCCCUAGGGCGAGCCACCAGCCCUACGAGUGAUCCAUGGCAUGCUUCACACCUAGCAAUGCUCAAAUGCUACUGCCAACACACUCCCUCGGCUGAACCAAAUCCGCACUCCACGAGUACCUAUACUCGAGCGUCGUACGCUACUAUAGCGUUCUACACUAAGUCUUGGCUUUGGGCAACAUUGCCCCCGCGCACCGUCUACCAAACACAUUCUCCUACCUCACAUUGAGGUACAAUUAGGCCCACAGGCCAAACUUGGUUACUAACCAACUAUUCCGUCAACAGUGAUUCUACUUUCACUAUUCGACCCACAGGAAUGACAUCCGAAAUUUUCGGAUUACUCGGGUGUCCUCAAAUACACAGCUCAACUCUCGCAAUCGACUAAUUAAGUUGUACUGAGAGUCGCUUCACCAUUUCCAUCUCUAUCAUGAGUCUCAUCAUCUCUCACCAUAUAUCACUACUAGCACUUCGCUAGUGCCAUCUGGCUCUAUACCUGUACUGGCAGAUACUAUGCCCUCACAACACGAGCAUACCCGGGUAUCUAUACUUACCCGUCCACUCGGUCUCUACUAUGCUCAUGCACGACAAUAGUAAUUAACCACAUAACCAUCGCAUGCAAUGCAUGAAUUUCACAUCAUGCAAAAGCAUAUGCUUGCUUUAAUUAACUCAUACCUACAAGCCGUCGUCAGCAACAGGGUCCUCAACCUGGGUCGUGUAUCUAUGGCUACCCGGCGCUCGCCGCGAACCCUUCGGUUGCAUCGUCCUUAAUGCCCUCUCUCCCAACUAUGCCGUAGGUGGCACACCUACAGACCGUCACAGAGAAGAAUAGGCUGUCGCCAGUGUCAGUCCCGGGCUGUCACCUUGCGGACACUCGUCAGCGCACAGCCCGGUUGCCCACACCUGUAGCACUUGCCCUUUCACAGCUCAUACUAUUGUGGGUAACGAAAACACCCUCAAACAACACAUCUCACAAAGGACCGAAUACAGUAGGUCCCGGAACUCGGGAUCGCGAGCGCGAACACAUUGCACUCGGUUGAGAACUUGACGGAUCACCAAAUCCACUCGUUGGUCGUCCUAUUUCCUUUUUUCCUGCAAUUAGACUCACGCUCCACCCGCACAAUUGCACUGCCUUAUUCUAUCCACAAGGCCUAAUCCUUAAAUCUCCUCCAAUCUCCACCAAUCCACACUCGGGAAGGGCUCCAAGAGAAAUAGAGGGAGAAAAAUCACAUGUUGGGUGGUCUCUGGCUGUGAACAAGAGAGGAGGAGUUGGUGGGGUCUAUAUAGGAUGCCACAAUCGCAUUUAAACCCUUCCUCCAUUCAUAUUUGCAGCAGACCAAUUUGGUGCAGCCAGACCAAAGUGUACCGGUACACUUUGGGCUGUCACCGGUUACACGAUUCCGCAGAGGCAAACCCGAGAGCAAGGUUCUCGGUUACGUGGGAUUUGUACCGGUACACUUUCAUUUUGUACCGGUACGCUUCCAACCUUUAUCAAACCCGAGAGCAGCUCUCUCGGUUAUGCACCAUUUGUACCGGUACACUUUCGUCCAUCCACAAACCCAAGAGCAACCUUCUCUCGGUCUGCUGGUUGUACCGGUACAGCAUUAAUGUUGUACCGGUACACUUUGCUCCAGAAUGCAGCUUUAGCUCUGAUUCUACUCUACUUCGCGCCGAUCAAUGCUAAAACCUCUCUAACUCUUUCUAAACUCAAUUUUAACCCUUCCAACAUUGUUGGAAUGUCAAUUGGACUUUGUCCAACUAUUUCUCUGGACGCAUUUUGGUCAAUUUGACAAAAAGUGAUCUAACACGACGAGAAUUCCGUUAAUUUCUCAAAGGUCACGAGGGCCGCCAAAACUCGCGAAGUUCCAAGUCUCCGCUCGCCUCAAACUAGCCAGGGACACCACUUGGCCCAUCCCGCGCCAAUCUAAACGAAGAUCGCCUACGCAGUGCUAUCGCUUCCUAAAAUGCGACAACUCUAUUAAUCCUCGACCUUCUAGGUCGAACACGAGACACUUAGGGCGUGUUUGGUUCAAAGUCGGAAUCGGAAUCAGAAUCGGAAUCGAAAUAAGCUGGAAUCGGAAUCGGAAUGACUCAUUACCUAAUUCUGUUUGGUUCAUCACCUGAAUCGGUGGCUGCUAAGACUAAGACUAAAUCCACUACUUGGUUCAGGUAAUAUAAAAAACGUAAUCAGAUUAAUAUAUUAACUUAUCUUUAUAUAUAUUAAUUUAAAUUCAAAUUAAAUAUUAAAUAUUAAAAUUUUACAUCAAAAUUUGAAAUGAUGUCAAAAUUUAAAUCUAUUUUUUUACACAAAAUUAAACUUUGAAGUUGAGUGGAUAAUUCGAAAUAUAAAACUAAAUUUCAAUUUAUUCAAAUUCAAACUUAAAAUUACAAUUUAAAUUUUAAUUUGAAUCCAUAAAUUUAAUUUAAGUUUUAAAUAAAAUUUGAAUAAAACUUUAUAUAAAUUAAAAUUUAAUUUAAAUUCAAAUUCAUAAGUUAGAUUCGAAAUACUUGAUUAAAUUUUAAUUUUUAAUUCAAGUUCAUAUUUAAAAUUUAAUUUCUAAAUUUAAACUCAUAUUUUAAUUAAAAAAGUUGAAAAAAUAAAUUUAAUACGAAUAAAUAUCCAUUUCGUCCGGAUUCAACUCCCAAUCCGGCCUCCUAAGCCGGAUUGAAAAAAGGGGUGAUUGGGGGAUUCCCAUUCCACUCGGGAAUCGGAAUCGGAAUGGGACUCCCGCGUACCAAACACCCACAAACGGAUUCAUCCAUUCCGAUUCCGAUUCUAGGGUGAAAAAGAAGUGAACCAAACACGCCCUUAAUACCGACCCAAAUCGGGCGAAAGUUACACAAGGGCGUCUAUUCUCAUCACUCGGUUUUAUGUUGUGCGCGCCCAACACGAACACCCUCAGUUGAAAAUAAACCACACCUUAAAUCUAUCUCUAACAUCCGUUUUAGAGGUUUACGACACAACCCAAUCAAGUAACCUUUCGCCAAAAGUCACAAGUCCUCGUCUCUCACGAACCUUAAUCUUCUAUGGUUCACUAUCCUAGGGUCUUCUAGGUCCGACUAAACUAUUUUCUAUUAUUCUUUUUAUUCUCUGAUACCAUCUUAUCUGUUACACCCCGAGCCCGCCUCUUUGAUCAGAUUCGAGCAUGCCGACAAACCGCCGAACGGAUAGAGUCUCCCCUGUAUGUCCAAGGCGUCGCAAUCAAUACAGUACAAGAGAUUCCAACUAGGAACAGUAUUCAACCAUAGAUUGCAUAAGAAAGUAUCAAAAACAUAAACAACUAGCUAUUACAAGCAUUCGUCUCAAUUUAACAUUUAGGUUACAUAUUACAUUGCUUUAACUAGAUUCUUACUUCCAAAUACAAUCCAAGUUGCUACAAAUUAUUACAAGUUUGAUUCUUUGUCCUCUAAACCCCUAAGCUAGACCACCUCGAGGUACGGCUAUCUCUGGUCUCUAGGGUAGGGCGCUGUCUACGGAGCUACGUCCUUUCCUCGCGCCGCCGCGCCGCUCACGUGUGUACCUGUAACACCCCCAAACAACGUGGAGUGAGAACCAACUCCAUGGUUCCCAAUGAGGACGGCCUUCUACAACAGGUAUUUAUACUUUUACUCGAUAUUGAACUACAUGUCAUGCCUCACAAUAUACAAUAUGAAAUCAUGCAACUAUCAAAGUAGAUUAAUUGAUACUACUUCCCAUUCUUAGCCAUUCUUUAUUAUUAGACACUCAUUCUUUACACUUUAGCUAUUCUUCACCAUUAGCCAUUUUCUUGCAAUCAUUAGCUAUCCCUUAGCAUUAACCGUUUCUAUUCCUUAUUCUAUAUUCUUUAUUCUUUAUUCUCUACUAAGGGCACUCACACCUUAAUCAUAUUAUACACAAUUGCCACUCUUUCCUAAGGUUACUUUACCUUAGCCAACUAUGCCACUCGACUCGGUCUUGAGUCAAUCAACUGCGGAUAAUCCGUGCUCUGUCAGGUUCGAGGCGAAGGACGUCUCACAUGCACCUCAGCCUUAAAUCCUCUAGACUAUAGGUCUACUCACAGGGUGAGGAUAUCCGUCGAACCCCAGACCACAAGUCGCUCAAUAGACCUACGGGCGAGGAGAACUACACGUACCCGCAUCCCCAAUCUCAUACUCAAACCGAGCGACGAGAACCACACGUACCCGAUGAGUCACUGCCAGGCGAGGAGAACCACACGUACCUGCAGUUGCCAUACACUUGCGCUCGGUCGUAAGGCUCAUCCGCUGCACUAGCAGCACUCAUUCCUAGGGAUUUCGGAAUCCACAUUCUUAACUAUAGGGUUGGUCGUAAACCCUAUAGUAUUGACCUAUCUAGAUCCCAAGCAUUCCUCAUCCUAAGGUUUAUAACAUUAGGUCCAAUGUUCAUUAUCACCUAGGUUCACUUGACUCUAGGUUCAAUGCCACUCUUUUCAUAGCCAAGGUUUACUUGACGCUAGGUUCAAUUCUCAACCUAUGUUUAGUACACAAAGUUUAAUGCAACUCACCUAGGUUUAUUUAACUCUAGGUUCAAUCUCAACCUAUGUUCUCUAACAUUAGGUUUAUAGCCAAUAUUGUUUAACCUAUGUUUGUUAACACCAGGUUCAAUAUCACUCCUGUUCAACCUAUGUCCUUGACACUAGGUUCGAUGCCACUCGAUCUAAUAUAUAUAUACAUAUGUCCACAUGCACUUGUCAUUUAACAUAGUUCUCUAUAUGUCAACUUGCACUCGUUUAGCAUUCUCAUGUCAUUAUUCAUUUUCUUAGCAUUAACCACAUGCUUAUCAUGUAUUCACUUAGCAUUCUUACAACAUACAACAUGCAUUCAACUAGCAUUAAUCAAUGCAUUCAUCUAGCAUUUCUAUAACAUGUUUAUCAUGUAUUCUUUGAGCAUUCUUAUUUCAUAUCAAUAUGCAUUUCAACAUGUUUCUACACAUUCCCACUAGCAUGUUCUUAUAAUGUCAACAUGCAUAUGCCAUUUACUUUAUGCUUUCCACUAGCAUUAUUCACACUAUGUCAUCAUGCAUUAUUUGGUAGCCCAACAUAGCAUUCAUCCUAUGCAUUCACAUGUUCUAUCAUUAGCUACCACUAUAUGCAUCAAUGAUAAACACUCAUCUUAAACAUACAAGCGACCUAGUCGCUUCGGUAAACACAACCCACCUUAACUUAUUCUCCGAUUGCUCGUAGUCACUUGCAAUCGGUCUCCCGCGGCACCCGUUGCCCGGUUCGGCCCGAACUCGCGCGCGACUACCCAAACGACCAUCGAUCGACAAUCUGAAAAUUAAAGGUCUAUAACUAGAUGCCACGAUACUCCGGAUCCAUUUUCAUGAUUUUUGGAUGCCGCCUCGGCCCUCCAGGCGGAAAUGAAGCCGAAACGUCCGUUUCUUCAAUAUCUUCACAUAGGCUAGACGAAUCGCCGAACCGACUUCGCCAACAUGUUCGUAUACCUAGCAAUUAGGUUUACGUAGGGUUAAUUUAGAUCAAACCCAAACAUUUUACAAAAACCCCAUUUUGAACCCUAACAUGCUACUAUUGCAAGAAAUCAUCAUACAGCUCAAUGAUUCAAGCAUUAACCCUCUAAUUAGCAUCUAGGAGUUCCACUAAAUCCAUUCUUAGAGCAUAUAAUUGAAGCCGUAGAAUUCUACCAUUGUUGCUAUCAAAUCUUACCUCUCAAGCUAGCACCAAUGGAGAUGAAGAAGACGAAGAAGAAAAUGAUCCACCUUCUUGAUUCCUUCUCCACCAAUCCUUCUCUUGAUUCCACCUUCAAGAGAGAGAGAGAUCCUCCUUCUUUGCAAGUGUGAGGGAGAGGGAGGGGGGGUGUACGUGCGUGUGUUGUGUGCGUGGGUUGAUGGAGGAGAAGGAAAGGGGAUAAAUCUCUUUUAUACAAAGCCCCUCAACACUAUUCACUUCAGUUUAGAAGCACGGUACAGAUAUUUUUCGUCUGCCCUUCUGAAUGUCCGUUUGAGCUCAAAUUUGACAGUCAUGCUUGGUUUUACUUAACUUAACGAAAGAAUUUUUAAUCUUUCAGUUUCGACUCCGUUUGGUCACCGAAAGCUCUACCGAACUGUAAUCUCUAGCAGAUAGCAGUAGGAUUUUAUUUUCCACUUUUCGGGUGUUAGAAUGGUAUGAAACUUUAAAUCUAGCCUCAUAAAAAUAAUUCUGACAUAUCCUUCAGUUUUCAUAAUUUUCUGACACUGUGCAUUUUCUGCUAAUUUAUCUGCCCCUUUUUCACAGAAAAUUCUAAAUCUUUUAUUUUCACUCUGAUUUCAGUACAGGUCAUUUUCAACUUAUAUUUUACUUCUCUAAAUCCAAUAAAAAUAGUAUCUCAUACUAUUUUUAUUUAUUUUUACUUUUAUAUCUGUGACACCCCAAUAAUCUCACAUCGGAUGGGAAUGUGGUUGUCAUUGGGUUUAUAAGAGACUUAGACACUCGUAAUAAUAACUGGGCUUAAGCAUUUUGGGCCGGUGGUUGGGCUCAACGAGUUAUUGUUGCUAGCGGGUCGGGUCGUUACAUUUGGUAUCAGAGUCGGUUCACCAGCUGGAUAUGUGUGGCGAGUCUCGGCUGAGCCAGGGUCUGGAUGACGGGCUAGCGAGACGAGUCUCACAUCGCCUGGUGAUCUUGGGCUGUGUGUGUGAUUGGACUGACGAGGAUGUCAGGGCCUUAGCGGGGGGAGUUUGUGACACCCCAAUAAUCCCACAUCAGAUGGGAAUGGGGUUGUCAUUGGGUUUAUAAGAGACUUAGACACUAGUAAUAAUAACUGGGCUUAAGCAUUUUGGGCCGGUGGUUGGGCCCAACGAGUUGGGGUUGUCAUUGGGUUUAUAAGAGACUUAGACACUAGUAAUAAUAACUGGGCUUAAGCAUUUUGGGCCGGUGAUUGGGCCCAACGAGUUAUUAUUGCUAGUGGGCUAGGUCGUUACAAUAUCAAAAUCUGGUAUGUUACAUAGAGCAUAUGAAAUUUUAGAAUGCUUAAGAUACAUGUCUUAUGUUUCAUAAGAAUUACCUCUAUGUAGUAGAGAGAGAUAUAUGCAUUGUUAUUAUGCAUGAGAAUAGCAUUCUAUUAUAUGGUUUGAGAACAUAUUUCGUGUAAUGAAAAUGACUAGAAAAAUAUGCUCUUUGACUUAAAACUCACAUUUGACAUAGUGGACAAAAUGCCAUAAAGAGGCAUUUAACUUAGCAUUACUUGUAUAAUGACAUUAUACUUGUUGUAGGCAAGGUAAUUGCGACAUUGAGAUAUAGCGCAUGAUAUGGUCAUCUUGAAGCUAAGCUUGGUGCAUUUAACUUAAUUGAACAACUAGAACUGGACAUGUGACAUUGUGACUUGGUGCACUUAACCUAGUUAAUUCACUAGUAUUAGCCAUUGUGACAUUAUAUUCGAUCUAGGGAUCGAUAGUGAUGUUCCAUGUUUUAGACAUGAGGAAAGAUGGAUUUAAAGCUUUUGGGGUGAACCUAAUAGAGAUGAUUGCAUGCAAUUCUAGUAGAAUUAAUUAUGUGCAUUAUAAUACUUUUACUCCAUGUAGUGGGGAUGUUAGUGGAAUGACAUAUGCAUGACAUGCAUUGUGGUACUUGUGGUCAUAUCAUAAUUCAUUUGCAUAUGGUAUCAGUAAAUGUUUCUUUUGACAAUUGUUGUAAUUACAUGUUGAGAACCUAGUUGGAGACUUGCAUGAAAUUGUGAACUAUCCUAGAUAGGAUAAUGGUAAGUGUUAUGUGCUUAUAAACUAUUGACUUAUACUUGAUAUAGUAAACAUGAACGUCAUAUAGUGACAUUUGGAUUAGUAAAUGACUAAACCUUCACAAUGGGAUACUUUAUUGAACCUUUGGGUCAUUGGUACUUAUUUCAUAUUUUAGACAUGAUGACCGAGAGCUAGAUACUAUUGAUCAUGCUUGCUUGUCUUUGUGCUCAUUCGCACAUGCUUGUGAGGGUCGCUCUGCACAAGCCGGCACUCCGGAGAUAGCCUACGCGACACAAGCUCGCCCGUGCGGGAUUGGGCACCGAAAUGGGAUACCGUGGGAGAGGCUCAUUCAUAGAGUGAAAACGUUGACUACUACAGGGUCAUUUUUGGCAUGGCGCAAGCCGGACUACACACAUAUAGAUCCAUGACGAGGAUUGAACUAUAAUUAAAGUACUAGUGUAGUAACCCGCGUGAUACUGCGGACAGAUAUUAUUAUAAUAAAUUUUUUUCUUUAUAAUGACUUUAAGAUAGAUAAUGGUAAAAAAUCUAAAUAAUCUCUCAUAUAAUAGGCAAAAGAAGAAAGAAGCAAUAAAAAAAUGAGAGCAUUUAAAGCUAAAAUUAAACGAAAGCAACUGUAACUCUCAGCAGCUUUAAACAAUAAAUAAUUUGACAUACUUAAACAACUUCUAAAUAUCAAAUAUAAUAAACUCAUAUAAGACUUGGAAGAGUAGCAGAACGCCUUUAAUAACUCAGAGCUUGGCUUGGAUCGUUCUGAUUGGAGUUUUACUUUCUGUUGAAUCAUUUGAGCUUGUGCCAUAACUUUGUGUAAAACUGCAUUAAUAUUGAUGCGCAAUGAUUCUUAGAAUAAGUUGUUAAAAGAAAAUGAUCCAUUGAUAGAAAGAGUAGUUGAUUAUAACAUAAGCAAAAGAAAUGGGGCAUUUCUGUAUACUACUAAAUUUUGCAAUCCGUGCAAAUCAAUUAUGAAAAUGUAAUAAACUAAGAAGCACUAAUAACCAAAAAAAAAGAAAAGAAAAGAAAUNAAAGGAAAGAGAGGGCACUGCUUUGGUUUGUUUUGGUUUAGUUUUAAAUAUGCGGUAAGCGGUUGGGUUUGGUUCAGAGUUCAGAGAGAGAGAUAUUUCAGUCGGUUCGGUUCAUAUAUCUAGAGAGAGAUAAAUGGUUCGAUUCAAGUGCUAUAGAUGGAAUAGGCGGCUCGGUUCGGUUCAAUUUACAAAAGGGAUGAAGGAUAAUAAGAGGAAUCAAGGAUAACUUGCCACGUGUCAAAAGAUAUUGUGGCUUCAUAUAUGUUUAUAGAUAAUGUAGAAACUACUACUAGAUGGUGUAUAUUAGUUGGACUAGUAGACAUGCAUGAUAGUGCAUAUUGUGGACUUUAUGUUAGUCAUUCAUAGCAUUGACACUCUAGUGAUAGUAUGUUUACAUCUACAUUGAUUGUAUGUACGCAUGGCUAGAAUAACAAUGAAAAGCAUAAAUUACUCCAUGUAGCAUUAUAUAUGGACAUUAUGAUUAUGCAUGUAAAUGGACAGUGACAUACAUUUGAUUAAGCAUGUUAAUCAACAUUGACAUAUAGUUGAUCAAGUGAAAGUAGAACAUCAUAUACAUAAUAGUUAAACUUGUAGCAGAGGCAUGACUAUGAUUAAUUACUUGAUUUUCAUAUAUUUGCGUAAUUAUUUCCCUUACAAUAUGCCUUUGUUAGCCUAGUGGUGUAUUUCGCUGAGGUCGGCGACUUGCCCACUGGGAACUAUUGUUUAAUAGUUCUCACGCCCUCUGUUUUGUUUUUUGUUUCAGAGCCAUCUGCAUCGGGAGAGGCUAGGGAUCGUAGCAAGGAGUUAGCGACUAGCUAGAGCCCCUGCGGAGUUAUUUUAGAAAGACCCAACAUUAUCUUUCUUUUUAUACUUUGUGAAAAAAUGUAUAAUGUGUUUUGGUUUAGAGUUUAUGUUAGACUUUUGGAUUUAGUUGUAUACAUUCUGUUUAUAUUAUAUGUGGAUUUCUUUAUGCUAGAACAUUAGUGAUAUUAUAUUACUCGCUCUGAUAACCCUGUUAGGACUUUACUGUGUUCAUUUCUUGUUUUAGUAGACACCUUGUGUGCAUUGUGGUUGUUUGGUAUACACGAUGGGUCUGUGCAUGUGUCGGCGGGCUUCCGCUGGGCCCGGGGCGUGACACCCGCAGCAGAAAUUGCAACCCGAGAGCAGCUGUUCGCAGAAAAUGCAGUGGUACCGGUACGCCCCUGUGUGGUACCGGUACGCAUUGCUGAAAACCUGCAAUUUACAGAUUUCAAUGCUAAAAACCUGCUCUCGCGUCGUAACAAGUCCUUUUUGCGUCUAUUUUGCGCCAAAAUGACUCGGAUUUGUUCCGACAACUUCCAACUUGUGCGGCAAGCCUCAGAUGCUGAAAUCUCAUAGCUCCAGAACAUCAGGGGAUAUACAUAAUAUUAAUGAAUAUAUAAUAUAAAGAUUAAUAAUUUUGAUAUAUAAAACUAUAUAUAUAUAUAUAUAUAUAAUAUAUAUAUAUAUAUAUAUAUAUAUAUAGGGCUACUAUACUCUUAUAAGUAUUGGGCCCUUCGUACUCAUAAGUUGUUUUCGAUGAUAGGCCUUCCGAAUUGAUGGUCCACUCCGUUAAAUAUGAUCUAGAAUAUUUGAAACUUCUAAAAAAUAAAUUUCGUAAUUUUUCGAAAUCAUAAUAAGGUCUAUCAAAUGAGCAUAAAAUAAACGGUCAAAAUCGAACGACGUCAUAAAAAUGAAUGAUCGGAUCCUUCAAUUUAAGAUCGGAGUUAUUGAUCUUUAUCUAGGCAGUGAAUAGAAUUUUCUAUCAAAAAUUCAACCUAUUCCAAGUCUUUUACACCAUUAAAUUAGCAAGUAUCCCAUACCGGCCGUUAAAAAUUGUCAAUUUUGUGAGCUUUUGAUCGUAAGGUAAAUGAUGUCGAAAAAUUAUGAAAUUUGAUUUCUAGAAGUUUUAAAUGCUCUAGAUAAUGUUCAACGGUAUGGAUCGUUGAUUCGGAAACUCUAUCAUUGAUCAUACUCAUAAGUGUAUAGUAGCUUGAUUGUUUUGAAUCAUUAGAUCAUUUUUGAUAACAUAAUUUUGAUGAUUAGAUGAAUUAUGAAAUCAUAUAAUAUUUUAUAUUCAUCUUGAUAUUUUUGGAGUAAAAUUUUUAAUUAUUAUGAAUUUAAUUUUGAAUUUGGAUUAAUUUUAUAACUAAAACAAAGUAAUUUUUCGAAAAUCUGGGAGCUAGUACCGGUACUAAAUCCCGCGUACCGGUACCAGUACUGUAGACCGCAGGUUUGAAUCAACUUCAAGUGACAAAGAAAAGAGUGAAAAUCUUGCUUUAUUUACUAACACUUCUUUGCCUUCAUCUAAUGUUGUUUGUUUAUCCUCAAUUGUUUCUAAUUCUAGUGUUUCUCCUUCUUUGCAUGAAACUUCGAGCGAUGAUGGCGAGAGCGAGGAGGAGUCAAACGACGAGGAUUUAGCGGAAGCGUACAAUCAACUUCUUAUCGAAUCAAAGAAGAUGGCGAAGCAUAAUAGGAAGUUGAGGAGGCGUUUAUUGGACCUUGAAGAUGAUAACAACAAUUUGAGGACUACAAACAAAGCUCUUGAGGAGGAAAGGGAAUCAAUUUCGAAGAAUAAUUCGAUCCUCCAAAAGAUGCUAGAUGAAACGGAAUUAACGAUAAAAUCUUACCAAGACAAGAUUGGAUUUUUGGAGCAUCAAUUCAAGGAAACUCACGCAUUCAUUCAAGUGUUGACCAAUCAAGUUCGUCAACUCAAUUCCGACAUUCAAAGAUUUUCUUCUGGAUCAAAGAAAUUGGACCACAUGCUCGGAUUGGGUCAAACGAACAAGCUUAGUCUCGGUUACGAAAGGACAUAUGUUGAGAAGGAUCUAACGUCAAUUACUAAAGUCUCAACAAAUUCAAAGAAAAAUAUGUGUCAUAGUUGUGGCAUCAUAGGACGCAUCGAAAAGAAUUGCCCGACGAAGAACAAAAAAAAUCAAUCGGCAAUUUCUAAACAUCAAGUGGCAUCAUCUACCACUCGACUUCUCCAUCAGAAUUCAAAGCAAACUCAAUCUAGCCGAGUACAACAAGCAAACUGGAAUUCAAAGCUUCAACGGCAAUUUCAACCGAAGUCUCAUGCAACGUAACAACCAACGGUGGAUCAAAAAUCAAAACGAGUUGUGCCUAACGUCGACAAGCCAAAACGACCAACGAUCCGACAAGUUUGGAUCCGGAAAGUGAUAUCUUUCCUUGUUCUUCGUCUUAAUUUGCUUAUAUUUAUGUAAUGCUUUGAUUGGUGCUUAUUGCAUAUUUUUAUUAACUGCAUAACAUGUUUAGACGAUUGUUGGUGCUUGAAAUUUUUUUUAAAUUGUUUUGUGAAGGAUGCUUGGGAAUUAAAUUUUUUUUAAAAAAAGAGACGAUUUGAAAUCAUUAUUUUGGGGAGAAUAAGUUUUUUAAAGUGCCUUAAGCAAAUUAAAACCCAUUUUGAGUUAAAUUCAUAUUAAUUAUCGGUUUUACUCCACUUUUUAUUAUUUUGAUGAUAAAUUAUUAUAUGAAUUCUUAAUGCAUAUAUUCAUCAAAAUUUUGAAAUCAAAUUUGAGCUCUUGGUGAAUAAUCUAUCUUGGUUUUGUGUGUUGAUCAUGAUGAAUGGAUAUUCGCUAAU
This 21342-nucleotide long non-coding RNA is filed under the name Ananas comosus (pineapple). Its description in RNAcentral is "long non-coding RNA (ACOM_LNC019423)". The record is from RNAcentral. Lineage: Eukaryota; Viridiplantae; Streptophyta; Magnoliopsida; Poales; Bromeliaceae.